UUGCUUCCACACCACAUAUGCUAAACCUUGAACAAUUACAGAGAUUAGCAUGGCCUCUGCACAAGGAUGACAUGCAGAUCUGUGAAGUGUUCCAUACAAAA
Mustela putorius furo (domestic ferret) is the source of this 101-nucleotide small nuclear RNA. Lineage: Eukaryota; Metazoa; Chordata; Mammalia; Carnivora; Mustelidae. The record is from Ensembl.